Molecule: ribosomal RNA, 253 nt
Filed under: uncultured bacterium
Lineage: Bacteria
Description: partial 16S ribosomal RNA
Rfam family: Bacterial small subunit ribosomal RNA
Source: RNAcentral
UACGAAGGGGGCUAGCGUUGUUCGGAAUUACUGGGCGUAAAGCGCGCGCAGGCGGCUAUCCAAGUCAGUGGUGAAAGCCCGGAGCUCAACUCCGGAACUGCCAUUGAAACUGUUUAGCUGGAGUAUGAGAGAGGUGAGUGGAAUUCCCAGUGUAGAGGUGAGAUUCGUAGAUAUUCGGAAGAACACCAGUGGCGAAGGCGACUUACUGGACACAUAUUGACGCUGAGGUGCGAAAGCGUGGGGAGCAAACAGG